UACGGAGGGUGCAAGCGUUGUCCGGAUUCACUGGGCUUAAAGGGUGCGUAGGUGGGCAGGUAAGUCAGUGGUGAAAUCUCCGGGCUUAACCCGGAAACUGCCAUUGAUACUAUUUGUCUUGAGUACCGUGGAGGUCAGCGGAAUAUGUCAUGUAGCGGUGAAAUGCUUAGAUAUGACAUAGAACACCAAUUGCGAAGGCAGCUGGCUACACGAAUAUUGACACUGAUGCACGAAAGCGUGGGGAGCAAACAGG
RNAcentral lists this ribosomal RNA (253 nucleotides) under uncultured bacterium. RNAcentral describes it as "partial 16S ribosomal RNA". It matches the Rfam family "Bacterial small subunit ribosomal RNA", at positions 524 to 776 of the family's 1533-position model. The record is from RNAcentral.